AUAUAUCAACCUCUUCAAGUUUUGGCUUGCUGAGUGGUAUGGAUGUGGGGGAAUUAUUUUGCUGGCUUGAGGUCAGCUCCCCUGAAAUGCAUUGGCAAAACGAUUUGCUGUCAUUGGUGUGAUAACCUAUCUACGCUAUUGACAUUGAAGCAGUUCAGCUUAUAACAGUCCAUUUACUUGGACAAUCUUAUUA
Molecule: unclassified non-coding RNA, 193 nt
Filed under: uncultured Cortinariaceae
Lineage: Eukaryota; Fungi; Basidiomycota; Agaricomycetes; Agaricales; Cortinariaceae
Description: sequence contains ITS2
Source: RNAcentral